RNAcentral lists this ribosomal RNA (490 nucleotides) under uncultured bacterium. RNAcentral's name for it is "partial 16S ribosomal RNA". It matches the Rfam family "Bacterial small subunit ribosomal RNA", at positions 30 to 507 of the family's 1533-position model. The record is from RNAcentral.
AUUGAACGCUGGCGGCAGGCCUAACACAUGCAAGUCGAACGGUAACAGGAAGAAGCUUGCUUCUUUGCUGACGAGUGGCGGACGGGUGAGUAAUGUCUGGGAAACUGCCUGAUGGAGGGGGAUAACUACUGGAAACGGUAGCUAAUACCGCAUAAUGUCGCAAGACCAAAGAGGGGGACCUUCGGGCCUCUUACCAUCGGAUGUGCCCAGAUGGGAUUAGCUAGUAGGUGGGGUAACGGCUCACCUAGGCGACGAUCCCUAGCUGGUCUGAGAGGAUGACCAGCCACACUGGAACUGAGACACGGUCCAGACUCCUACGGGAGGCAGCAGUGGGGAAUAUUGCACAAUGGGCGCAAGCCUGAUGCAGCUAUGCCGCGUGUAUGAAGAAGGCCUUCGGGUUGUAAAGUACUUUCAGCGGGGAGGAAGGGAGUAAAGUUAAUACCUUUGCUCAUUGACGUUACCCGCAGAAGAAGCACCGGCUAACUCCGUG